UUCUCUUUGGGUCUUUACACCAUUUAGACGGUGUCGUGUAGUGAUAAGAAUGGACAUUGGCCCUAAAUCAACCCCAAAAGCUAGCUUAUGAGGUAAGGAUUGCCUAAGCCAUAUAAGGAGACGCUCUGAUACCAUGAUAAGAAUGGACAUUGGGCCUAACUCAACCCCAAAAGCUAGCUUAUGACUUUACACCAUUUAGACGGUGUCGUGUAGUGAUAAGAAUGGACAUUGGCCCUAAAUCAACCCCAAAAGCUAGCUUAUGAGGUAAGGAUUGCCUAAGCCAUAUAAGGAGACCAAGGACCUCAAAUCCCUCCGAUGUGGGACAACUCAACAUGUAGGUUCAAUUAAAUUAAUUACUUUAGUAUUAAAUUUAUAUAAAAAAAGUUUAAAAUGUAUGUGUAUAAUAAGAGCAAGCUCAAUCAUUUUGGACUCCACACCUUAAAUUCGCCUUUUAUUUGGCUGUGAUCGAUCACUGUCUUGUGUGGCUGUUUUUUCUCUCUUUAUUUUGUG
RNAcentral lists this long non-coding RNA (510 nucleotides) under Nicotiana benthamiana. RNAcentral describes it as "long non-coding RNA (NBEN_LNC019560)". The record is from RNAcentral. Lineage: Eukaryota; Viridiplantae; Streptophyta; Magnoliopsida; Solanales; Solanaceae.